GCGGAUGUGAUGGAAUUGGUAGACAUACUAGUUUUAGGAGCUAGGGAAUUAAAAUUCGUGGGGGUUCGAGUCCCUCUAUCCGUA
Molecule: transfer RNA, 84 nt
Filed under: Chloropicon sp. RCC4434
Lineage: Eukaryota; Viridiplantae; Chlorophyta; Chloropicophyceae; Chloropicales; Chloropicaceae
Description: tRNA-Leu
Rfam family: tRNA
About the family: Transfer RNA (tRNA) molecules are approximately 80 nucleotides in length. Their secondary structure includes four short double-helical elements and three loops (D, anti-codon, and T loops). Further hydrogen bonds mediate the characteristic L-shaped molecular structure. tRNAs have two regions of fundamental functional importance: the anti-codon, which is responsible for specific mRNA codon recognition, and the 3' end, to which the tRNAs corresponding amino acid is attached (by aminoacyl-tRNA synthetases). tRNAs cope with the degeneracy of the genetic code in two manners: having more than one tRNA (with a specific anti-codon) for a particular amino acid; and 'wobble' base-pairing, i.e. permitting non-standard base-pairing at the 3rd anti-codon position.
Source: RNAcentral